Long non-coding RNA from Homo sapiens (human), 2965 nucleotides. Ensembl annotates it as AFG3 like matrix AAA peptidase subunit 1, pseudogene. Its record names the gene AFG3L1P. NCBI's taxonomy places the organism in Eukaryota, Metazoa, Chordata, Mammalia, Primates, Hominidae. The record is from Ensembl.
AUUGCGCAUGCGCGCGCCCGGGCGGCGCGGGAUCUGGGUCUGGGGAUGUGGUACCGGCUGCUGGCGGCGGCCGGCAGUAGAGCGGUGGCCAGGCCGCUGGCCUUGCUGUGGCGAUGUGGUGGCCCAGGAGGCGGCAGGACGGCCAAGACCAGCGCGAGGGCCCUGGGCAAGGCCCGACAGUGGUUAUGGCCAGUGAGAAUGUGCGGUGUUGCAUUGCAGAAGAAGCUAGGAAAGCUCAUCUGGCCUCCUGUUCCAGUGCUUCCAGGGGAUCCACGUUCAGAAGCUGACUCUGCAGGCAAGACCGACGUUAUUUUCCUGGUGGCUGUGUUCAAAACCACCCAAAGAGACUGGUGAACUAGAGAAUGCUGAGUCUGGAGGAGACGGAGGCAGGAGAGGAGGGAAGCAGGAUAACGUUGCCUGGUGGAGGCGGAUGCAGAAGGGGGGACUUCCCCUGGGAUGACGAGGAUUUCCGCAGUCUGGCCCUUUUGGGGGCAGGCGUUGCCAUGGGAUUUUUCUACCUCUAUUUUCGAGAUCCUGGAAGAGAAAUCACGUGGAAGCACUUUGUACAGUAUUACCUGGCCAGAGGUCUGGUGGACCGGCUGGAAGUCGUGAACAAACAAUCUGUGCGUGUUAUUCCUGCCCCUGGGACCUCUUCUGAAGGAGCCAUGCUCACUGGUCCUCCUGGUACCGGCAAGACCCUUCUUGCCAAAGCAACUGCAGGGGAGGCCACUGUGCCCUUCAUCACUGUGAACGGGUCUGAGUUCCUGGAAAUGUUUAUUGGCGUUGGGCCAGCAAGGGGUUCAACUCUGCCACCAACGUCGUGGUGUUGGCUGGCACCAACCGCCCUGACGUCCUGGACCCGGCCCUCAUGCGGCCUGGCCGGUUUCAUCGCCAGAUUUACACUGGUCCCCCUUACAUUAAAGGCAGGUCCUCCAUCUUUAAGGUCCACCUGCGCCCACUGAAGCUGGACAAGAGCCUCAAUAAGGACACCCUGGCGAGGAAGCUGGCAGUGCUCACCCCAGGCUUCCCUGAUGUCUGUUUACAUACCAAAGUUAAAAAGCUGGAAUGUUACCAAGACUGCUUUCUUCUGCCCAUAGACGGGGAUGACUCAGCACUACCCCUCAACAGAGAUGACUUUGAUGACUCUGCCCCUCAGCAGGGCUUACUAAGCACUACCCCUUAACAGGGAUGACUCCGCACUGCCCCUCAACAGGGAUGACUCAGCAGAGAUGACUCAGCACUGUCCCUUAGCAGGGAUGACACAGCAAGGAUGACUCAGCACUGCCCCUCAGCAAGGAUGACUCAGCACUGCCGCUCAACAGACAUGACUCAGGGAUGGCUUAGUACUGCCCCUCAGCAGGGAUGACUCAGCACCGCCUCUCAACAGGGAUGACUCAGCAGGGAUGACUCAGCACCGCCCCUCAACAGGCAUGACUCUGCAGAGAUGACUCAGCACUGUCCCUUAGCAGGGAUGACACAGCAAGGAUGACUCAGCACUGCCCCUCAGCAAGGAUGACUCAGCACUGCCGCUCAACAGGGAUGACUCAGGGAUGGCUUAGUACUGCCCCUCAACAGGGAUGACUCAGCAGGGAUGACUCAGCACCGCCCCUCAACAGGCAUGACUCUGCAGAGAUGACUUAGUACUGCCCCUCAGCAGGGAUGACUCAGUACUGCCCCUCAGCAGGGAUGACUCAGCACUGCCCCUCAACAGGGAUGACUCAGCAGGGAUGACUCAGCACUGUCCCUUAGCAGUGAUGACACAGCAAGGAUGACUCAGCACUGCCCCUCAGCAAGGAUGACUCAGCACUGCCGCUCAACAGACAUGACUCAGGGAUGGCUUAGUACUGCCCCUCAGCAGGGAUGACUCAGCACCGCCCCUCAACAGGGAUGACUCAGCACUGCCCCUCAACAGGGAUGACUCAGCAGGGAUGACUCAGCAGUGUCCCUUAGCAGCGAUGACACAGCAAGGAUGACUCAGCACUGCCCCUCACCAAGGAUGACUCAGCACUGCCGCUCAACAGACAUGACUCAGGGAUGGCUUAGUACUGCCCCUCAGCAGGGAUGACUCAGCAGGGAUGACUCAGCACCACCCCUCAACAGGGAUGACUCAGCAGGGAUGACUCAGCACUGCCCCUCAACAGGGAUGACUGCAGGGAUGACUCAGCACUGCCCCUCAGCAGGGAUGACUCAGCACUGCCCCUCAGCAGGGAUGACUCAGCAGGGAUGACUCAGCACCGCCCCUCAACAGGCAUGACUCUGCAGAGAUGACUCAGCACUGCCCCUCAGCAGGGAUGGCUCAGCAGGGAUGACUCAGCAUUGCCCCUCAACAGGGAUGACUCAGCAGACUCAGCAGGGAUGACUCAGCACUGCCCCUCAACAGACAUGACUCAGCAGGGAUGACUCAGCACCGCCCCUCAGCAAGGAUGACUCAGCAGGGAUGAUUCAGCAGAGAUAACUCGGGGAUGACUCUGAUUGUCCUUCAGCAGGGAUGAGUCUGUUUUGCUCCGAUGGAAGCAUCUGUAGUGUCCAUCAGCAGGUGAAUGGCCAAAGUGGUAUAUACUGUAGUCACAUUCAGCUAUAAAAAGGAAUAAAGUAUCGAUGCAUGCCACAACAUGGGUGAACCUAGAAAAUACUGAUCUAAAUGCAAGAAGCCAGGCACAAAAGGCCACAUAGUAUAUGUUCCCAUUUAUGUGAAAUGUGCAGAAUAAUAAUAAAAAUGUAUAGAAUAGCAAAUCUGUAGGGACAGACAUGAGGUGAGUGGUUGCCAGAAGUGGAAAUGGGAGUUAACUAUAAAUUGCACAGGGUACCUUACAGAGAUGAUGGAAAUGUCCUAAAACUAGAUUAUGGCAAUAGUUGCACUACGUGAUCAGUUUAUUAAAAAUCGUUGAUGUGUGUGUGUAAAAUGGGUGGAUUUUAUGGUUUAUAAAUUAUACCUUAAUAAAGGUUAACAAAAAAUGUGGCUAAA